RNAcentral lists this transfer RNA (72 nucleotides) under Camelus bactrianus (Bactrian camel). It matches the Rfam family "tRNA". Rfam says of the family: Transfer RNA (tRNA) molecules are approximately 80 nucleotides in length. Their secondary structure includes four short double-helical elements and three loops (D, anti-codon, and T loops). The record is from Rfam by way of RNAcentral. RNAcentral also lists the same sequence under 2 other names. Lineage: Eukaryota; Metazoa; Chordata; Mammalia; Artiodactyla; Camelidae.
AAGGGUAUAGCUCAGUGGUAGAGUGCCUGCCUAGCAUGUAUAAGGUCCUAGGUUCAGUCCCCAGUACCCUAU